AUGGACAAUGCUGCACAGCCUCU
RNAcentral lists this non-coding RNA (23 nucleotides) under Rattus norvegicus (Norway rat). Lineage: Eukaryota; Metazoa; Chordata; Mammalia; Rodentia; Muridae. The record is from RNAcentral.